UCGAGGAUCUUUCGCAAUGGGCGCAAGCCUGACGAAGCGACGCUGUGUGGACGAUGAAGGCCUUCGGGUUGUAAAGUCCUUUCGCGCAAGAACAAGAGAGGCGAGCUAAUAAUUCGCUAAUUUGAGGGUACUGCGUAAAGAAGCACCGGCUAACUCCGUGCCAGCAGCUGCGGUAAUACGGAGGGUGCAAGCAUUAAUCGGAUUUACUGGGCGUAAAGGGCGCGUAGGCGGGUAAGCAAGUCAAAUGUGAAAUUCCGGAGCUCAACUUCGGAGCGGCAUUUGAAACUGUUUGUCUAUAGAGGGAUGGCGGAGAAAAUGGAAUUCCACAAGUAGCGGUGAAAUGCGUAGAUAUGUGGAAGAACACCAGUGGCGAAAGCGGUUUUCUAGCUAUUACCUGACG
Molecule: ribosomal RNA, 400 nt
Filed under: uncultured bacterium
Lineage: Bacteria
Description: bacterial SSU rRNA
Rfam family: Bacterial small subunit ribosomal RNA
Source: RNAcentral